Molecule: small nucleolar RNA, 123 nt
Organism: Sorex araneus (European shrew)
Lineage: Eukaryota; Metazoa; Chordata; Mammalia; Eulipotyphla; Soricidae
Product: small nucleolar RNA SNORA32
Exons: 1
Source: RefSeq, a predicted model, not a curated record
UAAUCAUUUCCAAGGCUUUUAGAAUGUAGCUUGUUAAUUGCUGUGGACUUGACAUUUAAAAAAAAUGCCUCAUUAAGUUUGCCUUUUGUUACCUUGCUAGCAUUCAACCAAUGGGGAACAUUA